AUACGUAGGGAGCGAGCGUUGUCCGGAAUUACUGGGUGUAAAGGGAGCGUAGGCGGGAGUGCAAGUCAGAUGUGAAAUACAUGGGCUCAACCCAUGGGCUGCAUUUGAAACUGCAUUUCUUGAGUGAAGUAGAGGUAAGCGGAAUUCCUGGUGUAGCGGUGAAAUGCGUAGAUAUCAGGAGGAACACCGGUGGCGAAGGCGCUUUACGGGGCUUUUCCGGACGCGAAGGUUGGAAGGCGGGGGAAGCAACCAGGUUUAGUUCCCCUGGUGGUCCCCGCUGUAACGGAUAAUUCUAGGGGGUGGGGGACUGACCCCUUCCGUGCCGCAGUUAACACAAUAAGUAAUCCACCUGGGGAGUACGGCCGCAAGGUUGAAACUCAAAUGAAUUGACGGGG
This 395-nucleotide ribosomal RNA is filed under the name uncultured bacterium. RNAcentral describes it as "partial 16S ribosomal RNA". It matches the Rfam family "Bacterial small subunit ribosomal RNA", at positions 523 to 918 of the family's 1533-position model. The record is from RNAcentral.